Molecule: ribosomal RNA, 464 nt
Filed under: uncultured bacterium
Lineage: Bacteria
Description: partial 16S ribosomal RNA
Rfam family: Bacterial small subunit ribosomal RNA
Source: RNAcentral
GACGAACGCUGGCGGCGUGCUUAACACAUGCAAGUCGAACGGUAAGGCCCCUUCGGGGGUACACGAGUGGCGAACGGGUGAGUAACACGUGGGUGAUCUGCCCUGCACUUCGGGAUAAGCCUGGGAAACUGGGUCUAAUACCGGAUAGGACCACGCUCUGCAUGGAGUGUGGUGGAAAGCUUUUGCGGUGUGGGAUGGGCCCGCGGCCUAUCAGCUUGUUGGUGGGGUGAUGGCCUACCAAGGCGACGACGGGUAGCCGGCCUGAGAGGGUGUCCGGCCACACUGGGACUGAGAUACGGCCCAGACUCCUACGGGAGGCAGUAGUGGGGAAUAUUGCACAAUGGGCGCAAGCCUGAUGCAGCGACGCCGCGUGGGGGAUGACGGCCUUCGGGUUGUAAACCUCUUUCAGUACCGACGAAGCGCAAGUGACGGUAGGUACAGAAGAAGCACCGGCCAACUACGUG